Long non-coding RNA from Anas platyrhynchos (mallard), 834 nucleotides. RefSeq lists it as uncharacterized. NCBI's taxonomy places the organism in Eukaryota, Metazoa, Chordata, Aves, Anseriformes, Anatidae. The record is from RefSeq and is a predicted model, not a curated record.
GAGAAAGGAUAUAAAUACACUUUCCGUGCAAGGUUCUUCUCACUACUUCUCUUGACUUGUUCUCUGCGGUACACUGAGACCCUCCUCCGCAGCCAGGCAAUGGCUUCCGAGCAGCUGGCAUGCAGCAACCCCUGCGAGGCGAAGUGUCCUCAGCCCCUGGCUGCCAGCAGCAACGAGCCCUGCGUGGUUGCCUGCGGUGACUCCCGGGUGAUCAUCUACCCACCACCCGUCGUCGUCACCUUCCCAGGGCCCAUCCUCACCACCUACCCCCAGCAAACAGUGGUGGGAGCCUCAGAGCCCUCUGAGGUGGCCCUGGCGGAGCCCCCUGCUGCAGCCCCCCUGCCAGCAGAGGCCCAGGGGAGGCUGGAGGCUGCAGUGGAGAAACUCACCCCGCAGGUUAUCGCUCGCCCAGAGCCUCGGUGCGCUCCUAAAUACUCCUACACAUAUUCUUCCCAAUGGACACAUCCAUGCAACUUGUACCGCUCUGGAAAACGGUGGACAUACUGAGCUGGGAUGUGAAGCGGCUUCAGGUAGCUCAAGCCCCUGGCAAUGCAGGAGGGCUGAGCGGCCAGGCAGGAGCUCAGCAUUGGGCAUCGCCUGGCUCCAGCUGGAGGAGAGCUGUGAACACUCAGCACCUGUGAGAGGCAGCUCAUGUGUGCAGUUUCUCCUUUUGCCUUUAGCUUAGGUUUGUUAGCCUCUGGCUUUCUGGUUUAGUCAUCUGCUUACAUUGUGCUUUGUUUACUUCAGUUACGUUAUUGACACUGAGUCUAGAGAGGUGACUUAGGAUGCUAGAAAUUGCACACAUCAACUGCACCGAAGGAAAAAAAAAAUAUA